GACGAACGCUGGCGGCGUGCUUAACACAUGCAAGUCGAACGGAAAGGCCCUGCUUUUGUGGGGUGCUCGAGUGGCGAACGGGUGAGUAACACGUGAGUAACCUGCCCUUGACUUUGGGAUAACUUCAGGAAACUGGGGCUAAUACCGGAUAGGAGCUCCUGCUGCAUGGUGGGGGUUGGAAAGUUUCGGCGGUUGGGGAUGGACUCGCGGCUUAUCAGCUUGUUGGUGGGGUAGUGGCUUACCAAGGCUUUGACGGGUAGCCGGCCUGGGAGGGUGACCGGCCACAUCGGGACUGAGAUACGGCCCAGACUCCUACGGGAGGCAGCAGUGGGGAAUAUUGCACAAUGGGCGGAAGCCUGAUGCAGCAACGCCGCGUGCGGGAUGACGGCCUUCGGGUUGUAAACCGCUUUCGCCUGUGACGAAGCGUGAGUGACGGUAAUGGGUAAAGAAGCACCGGCUAACUACGUG
Molecule: ribosomal RNA, 468 nt
Filed under: uncultured bacterium
Lineage: Bacteria
Description: partial 16S ribosomal RNA
Rfam family: Bacterial small subunit ribosomal RNA
Source: RNAcentral